GGGGGGGGGUCAGGUCUUCCUGGGAUCUUUGUUUGAGACAGAAUACCUUUGCCUAUCAGACAUACAAUUCUUUUACUCUGAAAGGAAGAGUCAAACUAGUUUGGGAGGGACCACAACACAUUAUUUUUCAGAUCAGUGAUACAUGCUUUAUCAAAGUAUCCCCCCCCACACCCCUCCAGAAUAUCAAAUGGUCAGACCCUAAAGGUGUAGCUUUUUGAACUAAUAUCAUAAUGAACAAGACAAGACUUUAACACAGACUACAGACAAUGGUACAUGGAUAUGAAAACUUCAAAAAUCAACCCAGUUCUGUUCCACACGUUUAACACUUUCGUUUAAGGAAACCAGAUUGGUGGCCAAGCCAUUUGCUCAAAGGUUGUGACAAAGUACUCUGUUCUGUCUAAGUGACCCUAGUCCUGUGUAGACAAAUUAGAAUCAGUCUAUGUUUGUAUUGAAUUGGAAACCAGUGCAUAUGCAGUGAAUUAUUAUUUGUAUGACCUUUGACCCAACUGUGUGAUCUCAUCCGAGUUUGCUCAAGUAAGGAGUGCAGAAAUAGUAGUCGGAUGUUGAACGCAUGCAUGGCUAGCACAGGUUCAACAUAUCACUUCAGCUGGGAGUUGUUCAACUAGGACUUGUACUAAAACAGCCAGUCAAUGAUUUCUUACACUAAAUCAGUUCAGUUUCUUGUUGCAGACAAAUGCAAAUCUAUCCUAAAUUUUCAGAAGAAAGAAAAUCCAAUUGAAAGGCUGUUUUGUUUAUGUUUGUAAGUAUUUUUAUUUCUAUUUGGGUUUAAAACUUUUUUAAGGGGUGACUUUGGGAAAUACAUAAAUCCGGAAAAUAAGUAAAUUAUAAAAAUACAUAUGUCAAGCCCUAACAGUUGUUUCCUGAAAGUAAAAAAUUCUUUUUAAAAACAUUUGAAAAGUGACCACAUCCUUCUAAUCCCCUGAGGUAAAAUGUGGAAAUAGAACAUUUUAAAAACAACUGAGCAAAAGACAGGUGACAUGGCUGACAAGUUGUAAGAUGCCUUUUGAACAAUCUCAGAGAUGCUGUGGUCAAUAACAGUGUGUUACCUUGAAGAUGUUGUUGCCAAUUCCACUGAUGCAUUGUUAGAGAUUCAGGAAUUUGUAGAUGAAAAACAACUGAUGGAUGGACAAAUACAUUUAGGUUUUGCAGAGAAGUAUAGGGGACAUAGAAGCAGCUUAUCCACCUCUAAGCUUACAGAAAUGAAAGAAUUUGCAUAUUUGAUCAUAUUUUCUCUGCAAAAUCUUAGCUAAUGUCUAUUCGUUGAUUGUUUUUAAUGUCAACUAUUUCAUGAUUGUUUUAAAUGUCUGCAUGUUUGUUUCUGAAAAACAAUUACAAGUUACUUUCUUGGAAAAUACAGUAAUUGCUAUAAAAACACUAGUUACUGAAAUCAUAUCAAGAUCUGUGAAACUUGACAUCAAGGUAUCUGCUAAUUGCCCAAGCACACCAAGGAAAACUUAUGAUUAUUUUUCAGAAGCAAAUGUUUACUUUUCUGUAAUUAUAUGCAGUUGAAGUUGAUUAAUGUUUUUGUUAAAUGUGUGUUUUCUUUGAGGACCUAUCUCUUGAGUUGUUAUUGAUAGAAAUUUUGUCUUCAUCUUCAUCUGAAGAUUGGAUGCUUUUAUUAAGGGUAUCACUUACUGGUGCUAUUUCUAUGGCUAUUAGAAUAUGUGUUGUUACAUAGUAAAUAUGUCGGACUUAUUCCAGGAAUUUCUUUUUUUUUCUGCAAUAACACGGUUUGAAUUAGUUUCCAUAUAUGAUACAACAUAGAAAAAAUAAGAAUAAUUUUGUACUAAAUAUUUUAAUGAAAGACAAACACUAUACAAAUGUCUAAUAUCGAUUAACCCAAAUUGAAAAUACUUCUUUCCAUAAUUUCUUGUUUUUCCUAUCAAGUACUCAAUAGUUUAUUUAAUAGUAUUAUUGUUAUCAAUGAAUUCUAGUCAAAUUAACAGAUAUUUGAUUGUGUCAUGUAUGUUGCACCUUGAUGUGUUCUGAGUCAAUUUGGGUGAAAUAAUUCCUUAGCGUAUAAUCCAGUUAGAAUAUUGUAACAAAUGAGUAACUAGUCAUGUUUUAUAAAAAAUAGGAAAAAAUUCAGUAAUUAAAAUUCAAUAGAACAAUUUUUUAAAUUAAUAUUUAAUUGACUCAAAACAUUUCCGGGCAGCAUAUAUGGCAGGUGUUGUUGAAUGAAAUAUGUUAGAAGUAGUGAACAGAAUAUGAUGCCAUUAAAGUGAAAAGGGAGAUAAGCCAUGAGAGUGACAAGGGAGGUAAGUCUUACUACCUAAGCGAGAAGGAGAUAAGUCUGUAUGGUUUCUUUCACUCAUCAGGAAUUAAUUUGAUUCUUCACUUGUGCUUAUAGAGACAACUCAUCAUAUUCAUUUCAGGAAAAUAGCAGAUCUGAAUUUGUCAAUCUAUAAGAAUUGACAAAUGAAUUGUAGAUCUAGCAGCAUACAUUCCGUAAGGUCACAAUUUGUUGUUUUCUUUUUUUGUUCUCAUUUGUGCAAUACCAUUAUGAAAUUAUUAUUUCUAAACUGUUCAUAGUGUAAAUAAAUCACUAUUUAUUCAAA
RNAcentral lists this long non-coding RNA (2579 nucleotides) under Haliotis rufescens (red abalone). RNAcentral describes it as "uncharacterized LOC125376012". Lineage: Eukaryota; Metazoa; Mollusca; Gastropoda; Lepetellida; Haliotidae. The record is from RNAcentral.